This is a long non-coding RNA of Mauremys mutica (yellowpond turtle), 343 nucleotides long. RefSeq lists it as uncharacterized. Lineage: Eukaryota; Metazoa; Chordata; Testudines; Geoemydidae. The record is from RefSeq and is a predicted model, not a curated record. The transcript has 3 exons.
CUGAGUCAUCCUGAACUAUUAAGGAUCCAACACUUCCAAUGACAGGCUCAGAUUUGUUGCUGACAGCAUGAGACACAAUGUAGAUGCCUCUUACAGGGAUGCAUUUGGUAACUUAUUACAAGAAACUUCACGUUUGUGACUGACUGGUCAGUGUUCUUUGGCCUCGCAGAGUGAAUCACAUCACCAUGAGACCUCAUUUUUCCUGACAUUUUGCUCAUCAUUAUAUGGGCUUCAUCAGAUGACUCCAUCAGAUGGUGGGCGAAAUGAGACCGAGAUGUGCCACAAUAUGAAUCCUCCGCCCCCACCACCAAGAAAGCAUUGCACCCAUCAAGACGGGCCACCA